UACGAGUUUGAUCAUGGCUCAGGAUGAACGCUAGCGGCAGGCUUAAUACAUGCAAGUCGAGGGGCAGCACGGGUAGCAAUACCUGGUGGCGACCGGCAAACGGGUGCGGAACACGUACGCAACCUUCCCAUAACUGGUGAAUAGCCCUCCGAAAGGAGGAUUAAUACACCGUAACUUAACGAAGUGGCAUCACUUUGUUAAUAUAGGCUUCGGCCGGUUUUGGAUGGGCGUGCGCCUGAUUAGGUAGUUGGCGGGGUAACGGCCCACCAAGCCUGCGAUCAGUAACUGGUGUGAGAGCACGACCAGUCACACGGGCACUGAGACACGGGCCCGACUCCUACGGGAGGCAGCAGUAAGGAAUAUUGGUCAAUGGACGAAAGUCUGAACCAGCCAUGCCGCGUGAAGGAUUAAGGCCCUCUGGGUUGUAAACUUCUUUUAUCUGGGACGAAAAAAGGGUAUUCUUACUCACUUGACGGUACCAGAGGAAUAAGCACCGGCUAACUCCGUG
Molecule: ribosomal RNA, 508 nt
Filed under: uncultured bacterium
Lineage: Bacteria
Description: bacterial SSU rRNA
Rfam family: Bacterial small subunit ribosomal RNA
Source: RNAcentral